GGAGCAGUGGGGAAUUUUGGACAAUGGGCGAAAGCCUGAUCCAGCAAUGCCGCGUGCAGGAUGAAGGCCCUCGGGUUGUAAACUGCUUUUGUACGGAACGAAAAGCCUGGGGCUAAUAUCCCCGGGUCAUGACGGUACCGUAAGAAUAAGCACCGGCUAACUACGUGCCAGCAGCCGCGGUAAUACGUAGGGUGCAAGCGUUAAUCGGAAUUACUGGGCGUAAAGCGUGCGCAGGCGGUUUUGUAAGACAGUGGUGAAAUCCCCGGGCUCAACCUGGGAACUGCCAUUGUGACUGCAAGGCUAGAGUGCGGCAGAGGGGGAUGGAAUUCCGCGUGUAGCAGUGAAAUGCGUAGAUAUGCGGAGGAACACCGAUGGCGAAGGCAAUCCCCUGGGCCUGCACUGACGCUCAUGCACGAAAGCGUGGGGAGCAAACAGGAUUAGAUACCCUGGUAGUCCACGCCCUAAACGAUGUCAACUGGUUGUUGGGUCUUAACUGACUCAGUAACGAAGCUAACGCGUGAAGUGACCGCCUGGGAGACGCCGACG
Molecule: ribosomal RNA, 546 nt
Filed under: Comamonas testosteroni
Lineage: Bacteria; Pseudomonadati; Pseudomonadota; Betaproteobacteria; Burkholderiales; Comamonadaceae
Description: bacterial SSU rRNA
Rfam family: Bacterial small subunit ribosomal RNA
Source: RNAcentral